CUACGGGGUGCACCAGUGAGGAAUAUUGCACAAUGGGGGGAACCCUGAUGCAGCAACGCCGCGUGGAGGAUGACGCAUUUCGGUGUGUAAACUCCUUUUAUAUGUCAAGAAAAUGACGGUAGCAUAUGAAUAAGCACCGGCUAACUCCGUGCCAGCAGCCGCGGUAAUACGGAGGGUGCAAGCGUUACUCGGAAUCACUGGGCGUAAAGGACGCGUAGGCGGGUUGGAAAGUCAGGUGUGAAAUCCUACAGCUUAACUGUAGAACUGCACUUGAAACUUCUAAUCUAGAGUAUGGGAGGGGGAGAUGGAGUUAGUGGUGUAGGGGUAAAAUCCGUAGAUAUCACUAGGAAUACCUAAAGCGAAGGCGAUCUCCUGGAACAUUACUGACGCUAAGGCGUGAAAGCGUGGGGAGCAAACAGGAUUAGAUACCCUUGUAGUC
Molecule: ribosomal RNA, 439 nt
Filed under: uncultured bacterium
Lineage: Bacteria
Description: partial 16S ribosomal RNA
Rfam family: Bacterial small subunit ribosomal RNA
Source: RNAcentral